RNAcentral lists this long non-coding RNA (1504 nucleotides) under Eucalyptus grandis. RNAcentral's name for it is "long non-coding RNA (EGRA_LNC002426)". The record is from RNAcentral. Lineage: Eukaryota; Viridiplantae; Streptophyta; Magnoliopsida; Myrtales; Myrtaceae.
CCAGCAGCUGGAAAAAUGGGUAUUCCAGCUCGGUUUUGGCCCGUUUUGCCCGCCUUCCCGAGCCCGGAUGCUCGGCCUGCAUUGAGGAAAGUCGAUCCUCGCGUCGUCCUCAUCGUUUUGGUUCGCUCGGCUCGCUAAUCCGGUGAGUUUAACUCACUAAACCUUUAUUAGACGGUUAAUGAUGCCCUAAGUGUGCUUAGUCUAAGUUCAGUAAGUUUAGGUGGUUAGAUUAGUUUAUUUGGUUGAAGAUUAUAUUAAGAUGUUUAAUUAAGUUAAAGUGUGUUUAGUUUAAAGUUAAGUAUGUUUAUUUUAAUAUAAAGCCUUGAUGUGACAUAAUAAGGUUUUACUUUUGAAUUAUUUAAUGAUUUCGAAUUCUGGAAUUUAUAAUAUUAUAUUCCGAAAUUAUUAAAAUAUUAUUAUUAAAAAAAAAGGAAAAAUUAUUUUUGACCCCGGUUGCUCAGAAUUUUGUUCCGAUCGCUGCUGUGUAGUCGGAUUUUGAAAUUGACAAUUGGAUAUUAUAAAUCGAAUGUGGAUUGUGAAAAAUAUGAAUAUUAUUAUUAAAUAAAUUUUCGGAAUAAACUUAAUUAUUUAAUAAUCCGAAAAAUUAUUUUGGGACCCUAAAUUCUCAGAAUUUCGUGAUGAUCGCUGCUGUGCAUUUAGAAUUUGAUAUUGAUGAUUGAUUGUGGUAAAUGGAGUGUGAUUGUGAUAAUAGGGAUUUUUUUUAUAAAAUCUUAAGCGUAGAAAUUGAUGGGAGAUUGGCCGUGAUUGACCACCUACUAGAGGUCGUGCCCAGUGAGGCCGUGAUGUACCACCUAGGAAAGGUCAUGCCCAGUGAGGCCGUGAUGAACCACCUAUGAGAGGUCGUGCCCAGUGAGGCCGUGAUGAAUCACCUAUGAGAGGUCGUGCCCAGUGAAGCCGUGAUGUACCACCUAGGAGAGGUCGUGCCUAGUGAGGCUGUGAUUAACCAUCUAUUAGAGGUCGUGCCCAGUGAGGCCGUGAUGGACCACCUAAUUAAAGGUCGUGCCGAGUGGGGCCGUGAUUGCCACUGAUUGUUAAACCUUCCUAUAGGGCCGUGAUUGAGAGCAAUGAUUGAUUUGCUAGAAUGACAUGUAAUCGGCCGAGUCGAUUGAUCGCUGAGACGAUCCAAGUGGUUGAAUUGUUUUGAUAAUGUGAUUGUGCCAUGGUUGUUUGGUUAUCAUAAUUGUACGUGGUUGAAUUAUAUAAAUUGUGCUAACCUGCAGAUGAAGGCUGAGGCGAGGUAAGUCUUCUGUGUGAUGUGGCUAGGCCACCCGGGGUGUAUUUUCUUUCUAAUAGGGGUUUAGGGGGUUUAACUUGCUGAGACAUCGUCUCAUCCCGGUUGUGGGAUUAAAAUUUCAGGUCCCCGGUGGACGGAGUGGCCAGAUGGCUUUGGUUGGCCUUAAGGAGUUGCAGAGGUGAAGUCAUAAGGGUUGGAGAGCGUGUCCUGCUAGUUGGUUGUAGGAUAGUUCCCCUUUUGUCGAGCUGG